UGUUUUUUUAUUAAAAAUUUUUAUUUUUGUUUUUAAUAAAAAUAUUUUUUAUUUGAGUAUUAUUUUAGAAAAAAAUAGGGGUUUGAUAGAGGAUAGUACUGUGAAGGAAUUAAAUUAAAUAUAUUUUAAGUAAUGAUGUUUUGUUUACCUUUUGUAUCAGGGUUUAUUGAAUUUUAAAAUUUAUUUUUCUUUUCUCGAAAUUUCAAGAGCUAUGUUUCUAUGCUAUUUAAUGUUGUAAUAUUUUUUAAAAUAGUUGCAUAGGGGAUAUAUUCUAUUCAAUUGAUAAUAUCUAGUUUUUUAAGAAAUGGGUUUAAUCCAUAAAUAAAUUGGUUUAUUUAUUUAAUUUAGAUUUAUUUAUAUAUAAUAGAGGAUAAGCUCUAUUAUAAUUCUAUAAUUUGUUUUCUGGUAUUUUAUGUAGGAAUAAUAAUUUCCAUCUUUUAUUUUGUAAAAAUUAUUUUUACUGUAGUUUUUAUUUCCUUUCUUUUAGGUUUUUAUUAAAAAAAAUGAAUAAAUUUUUACUUUAUUGGGAAAAUGAUAAAAUUAGUAUUUUAUAUAAAUAAUUUAUAGUAAUUCGGCAAAUAUAAAUUCCACCUGUUUAACAAAAACAUGGUCUUUUGUUUAUAUAUAAGAUCUGGCCUGCCCAAUGUUAUUAAAUGGCUGCAGUAUUUUGACUGUACAAAGGUAGCAUAAUCACUUGUCUCUUAAUUGGAGUCUGGAAUGAAUGGUUGGAUGAGAAUUUUUCUUUCUUUAUUUUUUAUAAAAAAAUUAAUUUUUAAAUUAAAAAGUUUAAAUGUUAAUAGAGGACGAGAAGACCCUAUAGAACUUUAUUUCUUAUAGAAUAAUUGUUUUUUUGGAAAUAACUUUUUGUUAUUUGAUUAGGAAUUUUGUUGGGGUGACAAAAAAAAAUUUAUAACUUUUUUUAUUUUUGACAUUUAUUUAUGUAUUUUUGAUCCUUUAUUAUGGAAAAUAAGAUUAAGUUACCUUAGGGAUAACAGCGUUAUUGUUUUAGAGAGUUCAUAUUGAUAAAACAGUUUGCGACCUCGAUGUUGGAUUAAAAUUAGUUUCAGGAGCAGAAGAUUGACUAACUAGGUCUGUUCGACCUUUAAAUUUUUACAUGAUCUGAGUUCAGACCGGCGUGAGCCAGGUUGGUUUCUAUCCUUAUUUUAUUUCAAAGUUUUAGUACGAGAGGACCAGUGCUUUGGAAAUAUUUUUUUAAUUUUGAUUAUGUUU
Molecule: ribosomal RNA, 1230 nt
Filed under: Tuxedo sp. ph57
Lineage: Eukaryota; Metazoa; Arthropoda; Insecta; Hemiptera; Miridae
Description: 16S ribosomal RNA
Rfam family: Archaeal large subunit ribosomal RNA (bases 802-1158)
Source: RNAcentral